CAGUCGCCGCGGGAAUACGAAGGGUGCAAGCGUUACUCGGAAUUACUUGGCGUAAAGCGUGCGUAGGUGGUGGUUUAAGUCCGUUGUGAAAGCCCUGGGCUCAACCUGGGAAUUGCAGUGGAUACUGGGUCACUAGAGUGUGGUAGAGGAUAGUGGAAUUUCCGGUGUAGCAGUGAAAUGCGUAGAGAUCGGAAGGAACAUCUGUGGCGAAGGCGACUAUCUGGGCCAACACUGACACUGAGGCACGAAAGCGUGGGGAGCAAACAGGAUUAGAUACCCCCGUAGUCCCUGUCUCUUAUAC
RNAcentral lists this ribosomal RNA (301 nucleotides) under uncultured bacterium. RNAcentral describes it as "partial 16S ribosomal RNA". It matches the Rfam family "Bacterial small subunit ribosomal RNA", at positions 509 to 807 of the family's 1533-position model. The record is from RNAcentral.